Molecule: ribosomal RNA, 499 nt
Filed under: uncultured bacterium
Lineage: Bacteria
Description: partial 16S ribosomal RNA
Rfam family: Bacterial small subunit ribosomal RNA
Source: RNAcentral
AUUGAACGCUGGCGGCAUGCCUUACACAUGCAAGUCGAACGGCAGCACGGGAGCAAUCCUGGUGGCGAGUGGCGAACGGGUGAGUAAUAUAUCGGAACGUGCCCAGUAGUGGGGGAUAACUGCUCGAAAGAGCAGCUAAUACGCAUACGACCUGAGGGUGAAAGCGGGGGAUCGCAAGACCUCGCGCUAUUGGAGCGGCCGAUAUCAGAUUAGCUAGUUGGUGGGGUAAAAGCUCACCAAGGCGACGAUCUGUAGCUGGUCUGAGAGGACGACCAGCCACACUGGGACUGAGACACGGCCCAGACUCCUACGGGAGGCAGCAGUGGGGAAUUUUGGACAAUGGGCGCAAGCCUGAUCCAGCCAUGCCGCGUGCGGGAAGAAGGCCUUCGGGUUGUAAACCGCUUUUGUCAGGGAAGGAACGGCUCCUACUAAUACUGGGGGCUAAUGACGGUACCUGAAGAAUAAGCACCGGCUAGCUACGUGCCAGCCGCCGCAGUAA